This 759-nucleotide long non-coding RNA is filed under the name Aedes aegypti (yellow fever mosquito). RNAcentral describes it as "lncRNA AAEL020326". Lineage: Eukaryota; Metazoa; Arthropoda; Insecta; Diptera; Culicidae. The record is from RNAcentral.
GGUACGAACGAUACACUGAAAUAAAUCAGUAAGGCUAUUUUAUCGGAAAUUUCAUAUAGUAUUAAUCUGUCGAUCGACAUGUUUGUUUCAAGUUGUAUCCCAUACGCUCCAUAUGCUAAACAGGUUGAGUGUAACUGCAACCUUAUGUAUUUUACAAAGAUUCGUAUACGAAGAAUUUAUAUGCAAGUCAAAUGUACAGUAUAGGAAGAGAUACAAGGAUUGCAUAUAACCUUCACUAUAUUGUCCAGGUUGCACAUCACAUAUGCGCGAGUGUCAUGUAGGUAGUACCAUUUUCAUGUCAAAGCGGUAGAGCAAAAAGUGCUUAGUACGAAUCCACACGUUUUCAGGACAGAAUUUUGAUUUUUUGAAUUUGUAAUCCAACCGGAAAUGACCAGAUCCAAAGGUGACCGACACUGUUUUCAAACUAAAUCGGUAUCCGAUUCUCAAAGAUGUUCUAUGUCGGCAUUUCAUUUCAAACUGCAACCACAAUGAAAUUGACAAGAUGCCAAGAUGCGCUGGAGAAACUUUCAACUCUUAAGUUAAGGAGUGGCGGAUCGAUUUACUGCAACUAAUUAUAUAGUUCUUAAAUUUGUAUGUACAUUUAAUCUGAAGCAUGAAAAUAUGAGCAAAUUGAAAUUUAAUAAGUUUAAUAAUUUCAAAAAAAUAUGGUCUGGGUAUGUUCUUAUCGUAUUCAUAGAAUCCUAAUUUAAAUUACAUGUGAAGCAAAAUCAAACGAAUUAGAACUUCAUAUAAAAAGAA